RNAcentral lists this unclassified non-coding RNA (256 nucleotides) under Hevea brasiliensis (rubber tree). The record is from RNAcentral. Lineage: Eukaryota; Viridiplantae; Streptophyta; Magnoliopsida; Malpighiales; Euphorbiaceae.
AGCUCGUCAACAGUUGAUGCAGCUGGUGAACUCCUUUCAGUAACGUAUGACUUUUUCAAAUCUCUUAGUGCUAGUGUCUUAGUGGCCAGAGCCCGCUCAGCGACCAAGCAUCUCUCCUUUGCAUUCUUCAGAUCACCUUCAAGAUCCUGAAGAUUUGCCUCCCUAGCCCUUUUCCUUUUCCUGCAUUCCUCAGCAUUCAUUUUAAAAUCUGAUAUACGUUGUUCAAGAUUCUUAAUUUGAUGAUCAUAAGAGCUAC